Molecule: ribosomal RNA, 800 nt
Filed under: uncultured bacterium
Lineage: Bacteria
Description: bacterial SSU rRNA
Rfam family: Bacterial small subunit ribosomal RNA
Source: RNAcentral
AGAGUUUGAUCAUGGCUCAGAUUGAACGCUGGCGGCAGGCCUAACACAUGCAAGUCGAACGGUAACAGGAAGCAGCUUGCUGCUUUGCUGACGAGUGGCGGACGGGUGAGUAAUGUCUGGGAAACUGCCUGAUGGAGGGGGAUAACUACUGGAAACGGUAGCUAAUACCGCAUAACGUCGCAAGACCAAAGAGGGGGACCUUCGGGCCUCUUGCCAUCGGAUGUGCCCAGAUGGGAUUAGCUAGUAGGUGGGGUAAAGGCUCACCUAGGCGACGAUCCCUAGCUGGUCUGAGAGGAUGACCAGCCACACUGGAACUGAGACACGGUCCAGACUCCUACGGGAGGCAGCAGUGGGGAAUAUUGCACAAUGGGCGCAAGCCUGAUGCAGCCAUGCCGCGUGUAUGAAGAAGGCCUUCGGGUUGUAAAGUACUUUCAGCGGGGAGGAAGGGAGUAAAGUUAAUACCUUUGCUCAUUGACGUUACCCGCAGAAGAAGCACCGGCUAACUCCGUGCCAGCAGCCGCGGUAAUACGGAGGGUGCAAGCGUUAAUCGGAAUUACUGGGCGUAAAGCGCACGCAGGCGGUUUGUUAAGUCAGAUGUGAAAUCCCCGGGCUCAACCUGGGAACUGCAUCUGAUACUGGCAAGCUUGAGUCUCGUAGAGGGGGGUAGAAUUCCAGGUGUAGCGGUGAAAUGCGUAGAGAUCUGGAGGAAUACCGGUGGCGAAGGCGGCCCCCUGGACGAAGACUGACGCUCAGGUGCGAAAGCGUGGGGAACAAACAGGAUUAGAUACCCUGGUAGUCCA